This 448-nucleotide ribosomal RNA is filed under the name uncultured bacterium. RNAcentral describes it as "bacterial SSU rRNA". It matches the Rfam family "Bacterial small subunit ribosomal RNA", at positions 329 to 793 of the family's 1533-position model. The record is from RNAcentral.
AACCAGACUCCUACGGGAGGCAGCAGUGGGGAAUAUUGCACAAUGGGGGAAACCCUGAUGCAGCGACGCCGCGUGAGUGAAGAAGUAUCUCGGUACGUAAAGCUCUAUCAGCAGGGAAGAAAAUGACGGUACCUGACUAAGAAGCCCCGGCUAACUACGUGCCAGCAGCCGCGGUAAUACGUAGGGGGCAAGCGUUAUCCGGAUUUACUGGGUGUAAAGGGAGCGUAGACGGCAGCGCAAGUCUGGAGUGAAAUGCCGGGGCCCAACCCCGGAACUGCUUUGGAAACUGUGCAGCUCGAGUGCAGGAGAGGUAAGCGGAAUUCCUAGUGUAGCGGUGAAAUGCGUAGAUAUUAGGAGGAACACCAGUGGCGAAGGCAGCAUACCGGCGCCCGACUGACGCUGAGGCACGAAGGCGUGGGUAUCGAACAGGAUUAGAUACCCUAGUACG